GGAAGAAGGAAUCAGGAGGCAGAGCACAUGGUUAAAGCAUGAGAUGUGAAACCAGGAAGAACCAGGUCUGAAUCUUAGCUCCACCAGUGGUAGCUCCAAACCUUAGUCCUUUCUGAGCCUGCUUCUUCAACCCUAAGGAAUUCGGAAACGGGACCCAGAAAGUUGUUUCCUGCAAGUGGCUGGAACAACACAAGCAAUAAGUAUCCUGAAACAGGCCCUGUUCCAACAAACUGACCCAGAAAGAGGUUACACCAAUUAUCUCUCCAGCAAGUAUGAGGAAUCCUGUUUCCCUACGUUCUCACUACGACAGCAGGAUAUCAAACAUUGAUAUCCACCAAUCUCUGGAUGGAAAAACAAAUCUCAGGGUAGAAUGGAUGGACUUUGUGCAACAUAAUCUGACAGUUAAGGCUGUGGAAUUUAGAGUCAGAAAGACCUGAGGUCCAAGCCCCAGCUCUGCUAUUUUCUACUAUGUGAUCAAAGGACAUUUUCCUAACUCUUCAAAGCUUCCAUGUCCUUGAUCUGAUGGAAUCAGGAAUAGUAUCUAUACCGUAGAGGGCAGUUCUGAGGACUAAAACCAUGCAAAGCAGUUAGCACAGAGCCUGUGAAUAUUCAA
RNAcentral lists this non-coding RNA (613 nucleotides) under Pongo abelii (Sumatran orangutan). Lineage: Eukaryota; Metazoa; Chordata; Mammalia; Primates; Hominidae. The record is from RNAcentral.